UACGUAGGGGGCUAGCGUUGUCCGGAAUCAUUGGGCGUAAAGCGCGCGUAGGCGGCCCGUUAAGUCCGGUGUGAAAGUCACAGGCUCAACCUGUGAAUGCCGCUGGAAACUGUCUGGCUAGAGUCCGGAAGGGGCGAGUGGAAUUCCUGGUGUAGCGGUGAAAUGCGCAGAUAUCAGGAGGAACACCGGUGGCGAAGGCGGGUCUCUGGGCAACAACUGACGCUGAGGAGCGAAAGCGUGGGGAGCGAACAGG
RNAcentral lists this ribosomal RNA (253 nucleotides) under uncultured bacterium. RNAcentral's name for it is "partial 16S ribosomal RNA". It matches the Rfam family "Bacterial small subunit ribosomal RNA", at positions 524 to 776 of the family's 1533-position model. The record is from RNAcentral.